CCUACGGGAGGCAGCAGUGGGGAAUAUUGCACAAUGGGGGAAACCCUGAUGCAGCGACGCCGCGUGAGUGAAGAAGUAAUUCGUUAUGUAAAGCUCUAUCAGCAGGGACGAAAAUGACGGUACCUGAGUAAGAAGCCCCGGCUAACUACGUGCCAGCAGCCGCGGUCAUACGUAGGGGGCAAGCGUUCUCCGGAUUUACUGGGUGUAAAGGGAGCGUAGACGGCAGUGCAAGUCUGGAGUGAAAGUCGGGGGCUCAACCCCCGGACUGCUCUGGAAACUGUACGGCUGGAGUGCAGGAGAGGUAAGUGGAAUUCCUAGUGUAGCGGUGAAAUGCGUAGAUAUUAGGAGGAAAACCAGUGGCGAAGGCGGCUUACUGGACUGUAACUGACGUUGAGGCUCGAAAGCGUGGGGAGCAAACAGGAUUAGAUACCCUUGUAGUC
Molecule: ribosomal RNA, 440 nt
Filed under: uncultured bacterium
Lineage: Bacteria
Description: partial 16S ribosomal RNA
Rfam family: Bacterial small subunit ribosomal RNA
Source: RNAcentral